AACCAUAGAAACCUGCGGAGUACCUGCGGAAGGAUCAUUACAGAGUUGCAAAACUCCCUAAACCAUUGUGAACGUUACCUAAACCGUUGCUUCGGCGGGCGGCCCGGGUCCUUCCCGGCGCCCCUCGGCCCUCGCGGGCGCCCGCCGGAGGUAAGCCAAACUAUUGCAUUGUAUGGCCUCUCUGAGUCUUCUGUACUGAAUAAGUCAAAACUUUUAACAACGGAUCUCAGAUCGGAAGAG
Molecule: unclassified non-coding RNA, 240 nt
Filed under: soil metagenome
Description: partial contains 5.8S ribosomal RNA, internal transcribed spacer 2, and large subunit ribosomal RNA
Source: RNAcentral